This 305-nucleotide ribosomal RNA is filed under the name uncultured bacterium. Its description in RNAcentral is "bacterial SSU rRNA". It matches the Rfam family "Bacterial small subunit ribosomal RNA", at positions 338 to 660 of the family's 1533-position model. The record is from RNAcentral.
CCUACGGGACGCAGCAGUGGGGAAUAUUGCACAAUGGGGGAAACCCUGAUGCAGCGACGCCGCGUGAGUGAAGAAGUAUUUCGGUAUGUAAAGCUCUAUCAGCAGGGAAGAUAAUGACGGUACCUGACUAAGAAGCCCCGGCUAACUACGUGCCAGCAGCCGCGGUAAUACGUAGGGGGCAAGCGUUAUCCGGAUUUACUGGGUGUAAAGGGUGCGUAGGUGGCAGGGCAAGUCAGACGUGAAAGCCCGGGGCUCAACCCCGGUACUGCAUUUGAAACUGGGGAUCUUGAGUGGGCGAGAAGUAU